CUAAGCGUACACGGUGGAUGCCCUGGCAGUCAGAGGCGAUGAAGGGCGUGCUAAUCUGCGAUAAGCGCCGGUAAGGUGAUAUGAACCGUUAUAACCGGCGAUACCCGAAUGGGGAAACCCAGUGUGAUUCGUCACACUAUCAUUAACUGAAUCCAUAGGUUAAUGAGGCGAACCGGGGGAACUGAAACAUCUAAGUACCCCGAGGAAAAGAAAUCAACCGAGAUUCCCCCAGUAGCGGCGAGCGAACGGGGAG
This 253-nucleotide ribosomal RNA is filed under the name Salmonella enterica subsp. enterica serovar Takoradi. RNAcentral's name for it is "partial 23S ribosomal RNA". It matches the Rfam family "Bacterial large subunit ribosomal RNA", at positions 12 to 264 of the family's 2925-position model. Lineage: Bacteria; Pseudomonadati; Pseudomonadota; Gammaproteobacteria; Enterobacterales; Enterobacteriaceae. The record is from RNAcentral.